This is a long non-coding RNA of Maniola jurtina (meadow brown), 360 nucleotides long. RefSeq lists it as uncharacterized. The transcript has 3 exons. The record is from RefSeq and is a predicted model, not a curated record. Lineage: Eukaryota; Metazoa; Arthropoda; Insecta; Lepidoptera; Nymphalidae.
AGUCUCAGUUGUUUGACGGCUAGCUUUUCAUAGUAAGUAGUUUGCAAUUGUUGACAAUAGAGAUCUGUCGUAAUCAUCUGGCCAGAUCUUCGGAAGCUAUAGUGUAUGAUACCAGCACUGGUCUCCACACAGCACCAAAACUCAUCUUUAAUUUCUCACUGACAACUAGGAUCUCCGACCGUCCACGGAGUUUGUUUUGUUGGUCAAAAUAACGAGAACGAGAGUUUCCAGAACGAAAACGUUGGGCCAAAAAACGUACCUACCGUGCUUUCUUUUACAGUAGCUUCCCUUAUACACACCAUUAAUCUGAAACAGCCAUUAAUUUAGGUACCUAAUAUAGGUAGGUAGCCUGAAUUAGUG